Molecule: ribosomal RNA, 495 nt
Filed under: uncultured bacterium
Lineage: Bacteria
Description: partial 16S ribosomal RNA
Rfam family: Bacterial small subunit ribosomal RNA
Source: RNAcentral
GACGAACGCUGGCGGCGUGCCUAAUACAUGCAAGUAGAACGCUGAAGGAGGAGCUUGCUUCUCUGGAUGAGUUGCGAACGGGUGAGUAACGCGUAGGUAACCUGCCUGGUAGCGGGGGAUAACUAUUGGAAACGAUAGCUAAUACCGCAUAAUAUUGACUAUUGCAUGAUAGUCAGUUGAAAGGUGCAACUGCACCACUACCAGGUGGACCUGCGUUGUAUUAGCUAGUUGGUGGGGUAACGGCUCACCAAGGCGACGAUACAUAGCCGACCUGAGAGGGUGAUCGGCCACACUGGGACUGAGACACGGCCCAGACUCCUACGGGAGGCAGCAGUAGGGAAUCUUCGGCAAUGGACGGAAGUCUGACCGAGCAACGCCGCGUGAGUGAAGAAGGUUUUCGGAUCGUAAAGCUCUGUUGUAAGAGAAGAACGAGUGUGAGAGUGGAAAGCUCACACUGUGACGGUAUCUUACCAGAAAGGGACGGCUAACUACGUG